This 378-nucleotide ribosomal RNA is filed under the name uncultured eukaryote. RNAcentral's name for it is "partial 18S ribosomal RNA". It matches the Rfam family "Eukaryotic small subunit ribosomal RNA", at positions 592 to 976 of the family's 1831-position model. The record is from RNAcentral.
CAAUAGCGUAUAUUAAAGUUGUUGCAGUUAAAAAGCUCGUAGUUGGAUUUCGGGACGGGCCAGUUGGUCCGCCGCAAGGUGUGUUACUGACUGGUCUGUUCUUCUUCGCAAAGACUGCGUGUGCUCUUCAUUGAGUGUGCGUAGGAUUUACGACGUUUACUUUGAAAAAAUUAGAGUGUUCAAAGCAGGCUAUCGCUUGAAUACAUGAGCAUGGAAUAAUGGAAUAGGACUUUGGUCCUAUUUUGUUGGUUUCUAGGACCGAAGUAAUGAUUAAGAGGGACAAUUGGGGGCAUCCGUAUUUCGUUGUCAGAGGUGAAAUUCUUGGAUUUACGAAAGACGAACAACUGCGAAAGCACUUGCCAAGAGUGUUUUCAUUAA